UCCCGACUUCCUCGUUCAUCCUGCUGUCAUAUCUCGGGCGCUGCCCUCCGGCAACCGGUGAUGCUCCUCCCGCCACCACUCGGCCUCCUUCCCGAUGUAGCUACGCCGCCGCCGCGUGCAAGAAGUCCAUCGCCUCCACCCCAGGCCGUUCAAUGCCGUCGUCGUGGACGUGCCCCGCUCUAACACCAUGGAUUGCGAUUGAGCGGCAAACAAUGGAACCUGUAGAAGGAGCCUCGGGGUUGAGGACCUCCAGUUCGUCAGUCCAACAAAAGGUUGUAGAAAGUAGAGACUAGUUUGCAUUAAGGUUAGCCCCUUUGUUUAUUCAUCAGUACAAGUUAUUUAGUUCCACUUAGAUUAUGUUCGGUACAUUGCUUCUUAGUUUCCAGUGACAACAAAUUUUACACAUAUAACAACUCCACAUUUUUUAUAUGACACAACACUUUGGGUUGGCUAAAUUUAGGUGAAUGCUCUCUUCUGACUUCAACUGUAACUAAGAAUCUUGCUAAAUAGGUUGCAUUUCGAAUCGAGAGUGCUGCUAAUUGCUAGUGUCACUGCUUGUUUUCUCGACAAGGAAAAAAUAGCUAUUGUUGUUCUGAAGUUUUAGGAAUUUCAAGGAACUGUUUUAGGAAGAAUUAGCUUAUUGAGCUACUGUAGAUGGCUGGCAUUUUUGCCUUGAAGGUGUGUGUGCAUUUCAUAGUUCACCAAUCUUAUCUGAUUUCACUCACUUCCAUUACCAUGUUAUUUCUAGCAUGGCAUGUCUAAAAAUGCAGAAGUAGUGCCAAAAAAAUGUCAUUGUGUUAUGCAUAUAAAAGCUUUAUAAAAAUGCACAAACUGUUGUGUUUUUUGGUAACUCACGGCUGUGUGUAGCUCUUGUAUGUCUUCGGGAUACUUAUGCAUACUGUUGUUUGGUACAUAUCUUCAGUACAAGUUUGGAAGGCCAGGAAGUUCUACAGCUCGCAUACACCGAGUUCAGAGAUGUUGCACGGAGUGAGCCGACACCGCCGUAAAAAAUGGUUUAUGAGCAUACUGUUGUUUGGUACUUAUGCAUACUGUUGUAGAAGUGAAAAUUGUUGGGUGCAUGUGCAGAAAAAUUGUCAGUUCAGUUUUCAAAAUUCUGUAAGUUUUUUUUUAUUUUACAAAAUUCUGUAAGUUUCUCGUGUGUGCUGCUACAAAUCUGAACUAUUUGUCUAGACAUUCUAGUACUGAUGCAAUCGCCUAAAAUAAGUUCAAGAAAAAAUCAGUAAGUUUGGUGCGUGUGCUGCUACAAAUCUUAAAUUCUUCUUGAGUCAUUCUAGUACUGGAAUCUCUUUUAGUCUGUAGCAUAGAGAAUAUUUUUAUGCUCAUUCGUUCAUAGUAUGAAGCUCAUUUAUAGUUUCUUUUCUCAUUCUGUUAAUUAAGAAAAUGCUUAUUGACCUUGAAGCAUAAACCUCUCAGCAAAUGUAACAUUCUGCUGAUAUUCUA
Molecule: long non-coding RNA, 1461 nt
Filed under: Triticum aestivum (bread wheat)
Lineage: Eukaryota; Viridiplantae; Streptophyta; Magnoliopsida; Poales; Poaceae
Description: long non-coding RNA (TAES_LNC027964)
Source: RNAcentral